CCUACGGGGGGCUGCAGUGGGGAAUAUUGGACAAUGGGGGGAACCCUGAUCCAGCGACGCCGCGUGAGUGAAGAAGUAUUUCGGUAUGUAAAGCUCUAUCAGCAGGGAAGAAAGGAAUGACGGUACCUGACUAAGAAGCCCCGGCUAACUACGUGCCAGCAGCCGCGGUAAUACGGAGGGGGCAAGCGUUAUCCGGAGUUACUGGGUGUAAAGGGAGCGUAGACGGUUACGCAAGUCUGGAGUGAAAGGCGGGGUCCCAACCCCCGGACUGCUUUGGAAACUGUAUAACUGGAGUGCAGGAGAGGUAAGUGGAAUUCCUAGUGUAGCGGUGAAAUGCGUAGAGAUUAGGAGGAACACCAGUGGCGAAGGCGGCUUACUGGACUGUAACUGACGUUGAGGCUCGAAAGCGUGGGGAGCAAACAGGAUUAGAUACCCCGGUAGUC
RNAcentral lists this ribosomal RNA (443 nucleotides) under uncultured bacterium. Its description in RNAcentral is "partial 16S ribosomal RNA". It matches the Rfam family "Bacterial small subunit ribosomal RNA", at positions 338 to 795 of the family's 1533-position model. The record is from RNAcentral.